This 429-nucleotide ribosomal RNA is filed under the name Triticum aestivum (bread wheat). Its description in RNAcentral is "partial small subunit ribosomal RNA". Lineage: Eukaryota; Viridiplantae; Streptophyta; Magnoliopsida; Poales; Poaceae. The record is from RNAcentral.
AUGUCGAUUCGUUCUCUCGUCGCCUCCAGGCUCGCCAGGUCCGGCCACGCCCUCCCCGCGGCCACCGCCGCGACCAUCUCCCAGGCGCCCAGGGCCCAGCACGCCGCGUCUCCGCUGCUCUCGGGGACUCGUGCUUUCAGCUCAAGGGCUCUAUGGAAGGGGGCGUUCGUCGACGCGUUCCUGCAAAGAAUCAAGAACAAUAGGGAGAAUCUGAGCGGCAGGAAGAUCUGGUCUCGCAGGUCCUCCAUCCUGCCGGAGUUCGUCGGCUCCUCCGUGCUCAUCUACAACGGCAAGACUCACGUCCGUUGCAAGAGCACCGAAGGCAAGGUCGGCCAUAAGCUCGGGGAGUUUGCUUUCACGCGCAGACGGAGGCCUCAUCGGGCCAUCACGGGGAAGGCCGGCGGUCAAGGAAAGGGCAAGAAGAAGUAA